UCGUACGAGAGUUUUUAACUCUAGUGGCGGACGGGUGAGUAACACGUGAGAAUUUGCCUUUAGGAGGGGGAUAACAAUCGGAAACGAAUGCUAAUACCCCAUAUGCUUUUGAGUGAAAUGGAUUUAUCCGCCUAAAGAGAAGCUCGCGGCUGAUUAGCUUGUUGGUGAGGUAAGAGCUUACCAAGGCGACGAUCAGUAUCUGGUUUGAGAGGACGAUCAGACACACUGGAACUGAGACACGGUCCAGACUCCUACGGGAGGCAGCAGUGGGGAAUUUUCCGCAAUGGGCGAAAGCCUGACGGAGCAAUACCGCGUGAGGGAAGACUGCCUAUGGGUUGUAAACCUCUUUUUUCAGGGAGGAACAAAAUGACGUGUACCUGAAGAAUAAGCAUCGGCUAACUCCGUGCCAGCAGCCGCGGUAAGACGGAGGAUGCAAGUGUUAUCCGGAAUCACUGGGCGUAAAGCGUCUGUAGGUGGUUUAAUAAGUCAACUGUUAAAUCUUGAGGCUCAACUUCAAAAUCGCAGUCGAAACUAUUAGACUAGAGUAUAGUAGAGGUAAAGGGAAUUUCCAGUGGAGCGGUGAAAUGCGUAGAUAUUGGAAAGAACACCGAUGGCGAAAGCACUUUACUGGGCUAUUACUAACACUCAGAGACGAAAGCUAGGGUAGCAAAUGGGAUUAGAUACCCCAGUAGUCCUAGCCGUNAACUAUGGAUACUAGAUGUUGA
RNAcentral lists this ribosomal RNA (725 nucleotides) under uncultured bacterium. RNAcentral describes it as "bacterial SSU rRNA". It matches the Rfam family "Bacterial small subunit ribosomal RNA", at positions 62 to 826 of the family's 1533-position model. The record is from RNAcentral.